Molecule: ribosomal RNA, 1251 nt
Filed under: Microbacterium sp.
Lineage: Bacteria; Bacillati; Actinomycetota; Actinomycetes; Micrococcales; Microbacteriaceae
Description: bacterial SSU rRNA
Rfam family: Bacterial small subunit ribosomal RNA
Source: RNAcentral
GGGUGAGUAACACGUGAGCAACCUGCCCCUGACUCUGGGAUAAGCGCUGGAAACGGCGUCUAAUACUGGAUAUGUGACGUGACCGCAUGGUCUGCGUUUGGAAAGAUUUUUCGGUUGGGGAUGGGCUCGCGGCCUAUCAGCUUGUUGGUGAGGUAAUGGCUCACCAAGGCGUCGACGGGUAGCCGGCCUGAGAGGGUGACCGGCCACACUGGGACUGAGACACGGCCCAGACUCCUACGGGAGGCAGCAGUGGGGAAUAUUGCACAAUGGGCGCAAGCCUGAUGCAGCAACGCCGCGUGAGGGAUGACGGCCUUCGGGUUGUAAACCUCUUUUAGCAGGGAAGAAGCGAAAGUGACGGUACCUGCAGAAAAAGCGCCGGCUAACUACGUGCCAGCAGCCGCGGUAAUACGUAGGGCGCAAGCGUUAUCCGGAAUUAUUGGGCGUAAAGAGCUCGUAGGCGGUUUGUCGCGUCUGCUGUGAAAUCCCGAGGCUCAACCUCGGGCCUGCAGUGGGUACGGGCAGACUAGAGUGCGGUAGGGGAGAUUGGAAUUCCUGGUGUAGCGGUGGAAUGCGCAGAUAUCAGGAGGAACACCGAUGGCGAAGGCAGAUCUCUGGGCCGUAACUGACGCUGAGGAGCGAAAGGGUGGGGAGCAAACAGGCUUAGAUACCCUGGUAGUCCACCCCGUAAACGUUGGGAACUAGUUGUGGGGUCCAUUCCACGGAUUCCGUGACGCAGCUAACGCAUUAAGUUCCCCGCCUGGGGAGUACGGCCGCAAGGCUAAAACUCAAAGGAAUUGACGGGGACCCGCACAAGCGGCGGAGCAUGCGGAUUAAUUCGAUGCAACGCGAAGAACCUUACCAAGGCUUGACAUAUACGAGAACGGGCCAGAAAUGGUCAACUCUUUGGACACUCGUAAACAGGUGGUGCAUGGUUGUCGUCAGCUCGUGUCGUGAGAUGUUGGGUUAAGUCCCGCAACGAGCGCAACCCUCGUUCUAUGUUGCCAGCACGUAAUGGUGGGAACUCAUGGGAUACUGCCGGGGUCAACUCGGAGGAAGGUGGGGAUGACGUCAAAUCAUCAUGCCCCUUAUGUCUUGGGCUUCACGCAUGCUACAAUGGCCGGUACAAAGGGCUGCAAUACCGUGAGGUGGAGCGAAUCCCAAAAAGCCGGUCCCAGUUCGGAUUGAGGUCUGCAACUCGACCUCAUGAAGUCGGAGUCGCUAGUAAUCGCAGAUCAGCAACGCUGCGGUGAA